UACGUAGGGGGCUAGCGUUGUCCGGAAUCAUUGGGCGUAAAGCGCGUGUAGGCGGUCCGGUAAGUCCGCUGUGAAAGUCGAGGGCUCAACCCUGGAAAGCCGGUGGAUACUGUCGGGCUAGAGUCCGGAAGAGGCGAGUGGAAUUCCUGGUGUAGCGGUGGAAUGCGCAGAUAUCAGGAGGAGCACCGAUAGCGAAGGCAGCUCGCUGGGACGGUACUGACGCUGAGGUGCGAAAGCGUGGGGAGCGAACAGG
Molecule: ribosomal RNA, 253 nt
Filed under: uncultured bacterium
Lineage: Bacteria
Description: partial 16S ribosomal RNA
Rfam family: Bacterial small subunit ribosomal RNA
Source: RNAcentral